This is a long non-coding RNA of Pomacea canaliculata, 1721 nucleotides long. RefSeq lists it as uncharacterized. The transcript has 3 exons. Lineage: Eukaryota; Metazoa; Mollusca; Gastropoda; Architaenioglossa; Ampullariidae. The record is from RefSeq and is a predicted model, not a curated record.
GCACUUGCACGCUGUUGCCUAGAAGCAUCCGCAGCAGUGCCAGAAGAGAGCGCAUCCGCUCGUACACGGCUGUUGACAAGCGAACAAAGACAGGCAUGGGAGAAUUGGAAUACCCGGAUGAGAAAAUACCACCCAACGGACGGCGCUGAAAACCAGUGAUGAAGUAAGCCGCACGAUGACAUAUGUGCUGACAAGAGUUCACUCACCCUGGCUUCUCUCUUGUUCCGACACGUCUCUGGCAUGGCGGACCAGCGGGCCCAUGAUGUCGGUCAGCGCCGAGAUGGCCCUGCGGGCUCGUCGCGUCUCUGUUAACAAAGGAAACAGACUGGCUCCUGCAGCCGUGGAACACAAUAAUCGGGAUGUUAAACCGACCCCCAUUGCCCUCAUCUCCUUUUCGUAGAUUUUAUGCGCAUGCGUGGAAACUGUCAUCCGGGGCUUGAGAAUGACCGUCCACAAAAGUAAUCAAUCUUCUUAAAUGAUUUUCUUAAUCUUCUUACACGUAGUUUUGUUUUUAUAGUUUAUAUAAAAAAAGCAAUUAUGUGGAUACAUUCCUGUGUCAGCCAUUUUCAAAAGAUUUGCCGUUUACCCAGAGAAAAAUCAAUUCUGUUUUCGAACAGUAAAAAGCUGCCUCGUUCUCAAUAUGUCUGGUGAUGAUUUCCUUGACAUUUUCUGCUUAAGUAUGAAGCUGAGAUAAAACAAGAUUUUCAUGACAGUCGCGGAAAAAUAAAUUUGAUCGCCUUUAUUCUGUUCUAACACAGGGUAGAUCAAAAGUAGGUAAAGAAUUCCAUCGCACCGUAAUCAGGUCAGUCUUGUAUACUUAGUUUUGGUACACUCUGUAUAUAACUUCUUCGAGCAGACUUAAAACAUUGAAAUAAUGUAAAGAAAAGAUUGACAGAAAGAAAAAAAAAUUAAUAAAUUUGAGGAAAAGAAUGGGUUGGUCAUAAACACACAGAACGCUUUAUAAAAAUAAAAGCUAUAUCCUCUUAGCGCCUAAGAACAAGAACGAACCACGGACAGCAUAGGAGGGACAUGAAAACAAACGAAUAACCCAUGAACUAUGAAAUAAUAAACAAAGGUAAUAAUGAUGAAUAAAAUCAAAUACAGAAAACUCAAUGAGGAACCAAUUCACAAGAACUGAAGAGUAUCAUGGUAUUGCAAAAGGAAGACGAGCAGGGAAGGGUGUGAAAAAGGACUAGCAUUAUGGGAAAGGGUGUUAGGAGUAAUGUGCGUUUUCAGCGAACAUUUAUUCAAUAGUGGGUAGUUGGCGGAUUUGGAGAGAGAGAGAGAUCCAUUGUGUUGCUGCACGGUAACUAAAAAUCGUGUGGCCAUAUGUUGUUGUUAUGGUGACAGGAAGAGUACGAAGACGAUCAUCAGACGAGGAGCGGAGUUCUCUAGCUGGGACUUAAUAGAAUAGCAGCUCAGAGAAAUAAUCAGGGAAAGAGCCAGCAAAGAAAUGAAAACACAGCACGGACAGUUUGUACUGGAUGCCAGAACGGGUGGGUAGCCAGUGCAGACAACGUAACUGCGUCAUAACAGCUCGCAAGAUUCUCAGAAACCAUGAAGUCACAUGACGCUUGAGCGAGAGGUAGGAACCGUGCUACGUUAAUGGGAUAUGGGCAGGGAAUUCAGGAGUUCCGGUGUAAUUAGCGCGUGUAAUUGCCCCAUCAGCCUACUGGCACAACACUGCAUGAAUCAUAUGUGUGAUGCGUGACACAGUAAUG